UACGAAGGGUGCAAACGUUGCUCGGAAUCAUUGGGCGUAAAGCGCACGUAGGCGGCCUCGCAAGUUGGAUGUGAAAUCCCUCGGCUCAACCGAGGACGUGCAUCCAAAACUGCUUGGCUUGAGUACUGAAGAGGAUCGCGGAAUUCCCGGUGUAGAGGUGAAAUGCGUAGAUAUCGAGAGGAACACCUGCGGCGAAGGCGGGUUGCUGGGCUGACACUGACGCUGAUGCGCGAAAGCUAGGGGAGCGAACGGG
This 253-nucleotide ribosomal RNA is filed under the name uncultured bacterium. RNAcentral's name for it is "partial 16S ribosomal RNA". It matches the Rfam family "Bacterial small subunit ribosomal RNA", at positions 524 to 776 of the family's 1533-position model. The record is from RNAcentral.